UACGUAGGGUGCGAGCGUUAAUCGGAAUUACUGGGCGUAAAGCGUGCGCAGGCGGUUCGUUAAGACAGAUGUGAAAUCCCCGGGCUUAACCUGGGAACUGCAUUUGUGACUGGCGGGCUAGAGUGUGGCAGAGGGGGGUAGAAUUCCACGUGUAGCAGUGAAAUGCGUAGAGAUGUGGAGGAAUACCGAUGGCGAAGGCAGCCCCCUGGGCCAAUACUGACGCUCAUGCACGAAAGCGUGGGGAGCAAACAGG
This 253-nucleotide ribosomal RNA is filed under the name uncultured bacterium. RNAcentral describes it as "partial 16S ribosomal RNA". It matches the Rfam family "Bacterial small subunit ribosomal RNA", at positions 524 to 776 of the family's 1533-position model. The record is from RNAcentral.